RNAcentral lists this ribosomal RNA (406 nucleotides) under uncultured Eubacteriales bacterium. RNAcentral's name for it is "uncultured Clostridiales bacterium partial 16S ribosomal RNA". It matches the Rfam family "Bacterial small subunit ribosomal RNA", at positions 355 to 774 of the family's 1533-position model. Lineage: Bacteria; Bacillati; Bacillota; Clostridia; Eubacteriales. The record is from RNAcentral.
UGGGGAAUAUUGGGCAAUGGGGGAAACCCUGACCCAGCAACGCCGCGUGAGGGAAGAAGGUUUUCGGAUUGUAAACCUCUGUGACAGGGGACGAACACAAUGACGGUACCCUGAGAGGAAGCCCCGGCUAACUACGUGCCAGCAGCCGCGGUAAGACGUAGGGGGCGAGCGUUGUCCGGAAUUACUGGGCGUAAAGGGCGCGUAGGCGGCGCUACAAGUCAGGUGUGAAAUGACCGUGCUUAACAUGGUACUUGCACAUGAAACUGUAGUGCUUGGAGUGCAGGAGAGGGAAGCGGAAUUCCUAGUGUAGCGGUGAAAUGCGUAGAUAUUAGGAAGAACACCAGUGGCGAAGGCGGCUUUCUGGACUGUAACUGACGCUGAGGCGCGAAAGCGUGGGGAGCGAACA